GGCACUGCGGGAAGGCCGGAUGGAACCAGAGGCUGGAGACUGAGUGGGGGGCCAGGAUAAAGGAAGGGAGGUCGGGGCAGGAGUGUGGAUGGGGGCAGAUGUUGAAGGAAGGACCCGGGGCUCCCACAGGGCCGGAGCCCAGAGGUGCUGUCCGGGGCGACUGAGCUGGGUGCGAGGCUGACGCUCUCCACGCUCCCACCCCUGCAGGUCUUCUCCCCUGGGUGCGGAAGGACGCGCUGGGAGAGGGAGGUCUUCUCAUUGACACUGUCACCGCAGCUGCAGCAGCAGAAGGGACACACUCUCCUGUGUGAAUUCGCUGGUGGCCGAUCAGCUUCCACCGGUCCCCAAAAACCUGCUGGUACUGGGGACAGACGCAGGGCUUCGGCCAGUGUGUGCUCCUUGGUGAGCCAGCAGCAGAGCUGGCCGCUAAACCCUUGCCGCACUCCCGCAGACGAAUGGCUUCUCCCGAGUGGACUCGCUGGUGCUUGAUGAGGUUGGAGCGGCCACAGCAGGUCUUGCCGCACUGGGGACAGCGACAAGGUCUCUCGCCAGUCGCUGUGGACCCGCCAGUGCUGGAGGAGGGAUGCGCUCUGAGUAAAACCCCUCCCGCAGGCCUUGCACUUGCAGGGCUGACGGCCCUGGGUGAAUCUGCCGGUGCUGCAGCAGCGGAUACUUGGCUCUUAUCUCAGGACCUGACCUCCCACUGAG
Molecule: long non-coding RNA, 708 nt
Filed under: Homo sapiens (human)
Lineage: Eukaryota; Metazoa; Chordata; Mammalia; Primates; Hominidae
Description: HSALNT0229903
Source: RNAcentral